This 70-nucleotide transfer RNA is filed under the name Cordylochernes scorpioides. Its description in RNAcentral is "tRNA-Gly". It matches the Rfam family "tRNA". Rfam says of the family: Transfer RNA (tRNA) molecules are approximately 80 nucleotides in length. The record is from RNAcentral. Lineage: Eukaryota; Metazoa; Arthropoda; Arachnida; Pseudoscorpiones; Chernetidae.
GCAUCGGUAGUUCAAUGGCGAGAAUGCUCGCCUGCCAUGCGGGGCCCGGGUUCGAUUCCCGACCGAUGCU